Molecule: small nuclear RNA, 118 nt
Organism: Amphiprion percula (orange clownfish)
Lineage: Eukaryota; Metazoa; Chordata; Actinopteri; Pomacentridae
Gene: U5
Rfam family: U5 spliceosomal RNA
About the family: U5 RNA is a component of both types of known spliceosome. The precise function of this molecule is unknown, though it is known that the 5' loop is required for splice site selection and p220 binding, and that both the 3' stem-loop and the Sm site are important for Sm protein binding and cap methylation.
Source: Ensembl
UUACUCUGGUUUCUCUUCAUAACGCACAAGUCCUUUGCAUUUUACUACAGACUUCUGUGGAGAGUGACGCCAAGAAGUUUAGCCUGUUUUUGGCAGGCUUUGCUGUCUAGCAGAGUCA